Molecule: long non-coding RNA, 1023 nt
Organism: Canis lupus familiaris (dog)
Lineage: Eukaryota; Metazoa; Chordata; Mammalia; Carnivora; Canidae
Exons: 2
Source: RefSeq, a predicted model, not a curated record
CUCCUCCUCCCGCGGAGAGCAGUGAGGAAGGCUCUGUGCCCUUCUGGCGCUCACAGGCUGCAGGCAAUGACAGAUUAAAGUCUGAGUAUCAGAUACAACUCUUGUUUCAGCUAACGGAAACCAACUUGUUAGUGUGAUCUCAGAAGCCAUGACUUUUUAAGAUUUUAUUUAUUCGUGAGAGAGGCAGAGAGAGAGAGGCAGAGACACAGGCAAAGGGAGAAACAGGUUCCAUGUUUUGGAGCCUGAUGUGGGACUUGAUCCCAGGACUUCAGGAUCACACCCUGGGCCAAAGGCAGGCACUAAACCACUGAGCCACCCAGGGAUCCCAGAAGCCAUGGCUUUAGAGCCAGAGAAAGUCAGAAGGCUGUUGUGGAUCCCAUUAGAUAUUGUGAACCCACCAAACAGAAAGACCAUGAAACCGACUGGGGCUAGAAUCAGGCGGUAAAUGGAUUAGCUGAGGUUGCAGAUUGACAGCCGACUGGGGAAUCAUGCGGUCACUGCCAAAUUCAGAGGUGUUGAUUCUGACUGUAGAAGCAAGGUGAGGAAAAAACUUGACAAGGAAGCUGCAAACACAACUCCCCAUCUUUGGAUACCGUCGAGUUAUCUUUGUCAAGGCUUCACGUGGCAGCUUCACCCCAUCAUCUCCCAGGCAAGGGCAUGACUUCAGAUAAAGAUGUGGAGAUUCUGGUUUGUUUAAGAUUUAUUUAAUUUCUUUGGGAGAGAGACAGUGAGCCGAGUGCACAAGUUUGGGGGACGGGCAGAGGAAGAGAGAACAUCCACAGGCAGACUCCCUGUUGAGCGCAGAGCCUGACAUGGGGCUCGAUCUCACCACCUGGGCUGAAACCAAGAGGGGGCCACUUAACUGACUGAACCACCCAGGCACCCCCAGAUUCUGGUUUUGAUCUGCCAACCACGUAGGAUAAAUCAAUAACAUGAUUAAGGCCACUAUUAUAUAGGUCCAUUAUACCUCAGUAAGGCUGAAGUUAAAAAAAAAAAAAAAGCCCAUUCCCCAAAACAGCCCUG